Molecule: ribosomal RNA, 508 nt
Filed under: Blautia wexlerae
Lineage: Bacteria; Bacillati; Bacillota; Clostridia; Lachnospirales; Lachnospiraceae
Also listed under: 1 other name
Description: bacterial SSU rRNA
Rfam family: Bacterial small subunit ribosomal RNA
Source: RNAcentral
GACAGGUGGUGCAUGGUUGUCGUCAGCUCGUGUCGUGAGAUGUUGGGUUAAGUCCCGCAACGAGCGCAACCCCUAUCCUCAGUAGCCAGCAUUUAAGGUGGGCACUCUGGGGAGACUGCCAGGGAUAACCUGGAGGAAGGCGGGGAUGACGUCAAAUCAUCAUGCCCCUUAUGAUUUGGGCUACACACGUGCUACAAUGGCGUAAACAAAGGGAAGCGAGAUUGUGAGAUGGAGCAAAUCCCAAAAAUAACGUCCCAGUUCGGACUGUAGUCUGCAACCCGACUACACGAAGCUGGAAUCGCUAGUAAUCGCGGAUCAGAAUGCCGCGGUGAAUACGUUCCCGGGUCUUGUACACACCGCCCGUCACACCAUGGGAGUCAGUAACGCCCGAAGUCAGUGACCUAACUGCAAAGAAGGAGCUGCCGAAGGCGGGACCGAUGACUGGGGUGAAGUCGUAACAAGGUAGCCGUAUCGGAAGGUGCGGCUGGAUCACCUCCUUUCUAAGGAA